GGCAGGUAGAGAGAGAGAAAGCGAGCGGGUCCCAGUCUGUGCGGCCGGCGCUCUCAUCAGUCCCUGCCUCCUCGCUCCAAGAAUUUCGGAGCGCGGCCAAGGCCAGGCUGGGUUCGAGUCUCGGCGGGAUGCAGAACUCAGGGAUGCGAUCAGGGGUGGAGGUGUGGGAAGCUCCGAUCAGGUUUCUCUUUCCUUACGGGCAAAAGCGGGUUAAGUUUCGAUGGUAUCGCGGCAUCACUGUGAAGACCACCGCACACAGUGAUCGUGAAUGCGUGGAAGCACUCUACUCCCUCCAAGAAAAAUGAAGACGGAAGUUGGUUUUUCUCAGGAGACAAGCUGCUGUUGGCUCUACAAGUGACAUCUCAGAGAGCCUGCAGUUCCAAAGAGGACAGAUCAGAGCUCACGAUCAGAGAAUUUGGGUAAGAAGUUAAGCAAAUUUAUUUAACAUGUUUGAGUCCAAGGUGUAAAGUGGGGUUAAUAAUACCUACCACAUAAAAUUGUUCUAAGAGUCAAAAAGAUAUGUGUGAAAAUGAUUGUCAAAGUGUAAGUGCCAGUUAACAGCUGUUAUUAUUGUUAUGUAUGUUUGCUUGGUCAAAGAUUAGCUGAUGCACACACAGAUUCAUUCAACAACAUUUCUCUGUCCAGCCAACCAAAGCAAAUUUGUUUUGUUUUGCCAACAGUUCAUCUUCAGUAACACCUUAGAAGCAUUUCCUGUGGAAGACUUCUUGCAAACAGGAGAGAUGUGUCCUUACGUGACUGGUUCCCUGUGACCACGUUAAGCCUUAUGUUUUACUUAACACGGAAGUGUGAGCCGUCCAGUACUUGGGAGGAUAGUUCAACAGGGUCAGGCCAAGUACCUGGACACGGAAAUAUCCGCAGAGGAAGACUGUGGCCAUUCGAGCUCACAGCGUGAGCCACAGAACAUCCGGUCAUGGAGCUGGAAAACAAUUCAGUGAAGCAGACAUAAACAGGGCCCAUAUGGGAGAGACCAGAGGUAUGCACAGAGUGAAAAGAAACGAACACUUUAAAGCAGACUCACACACCUGUGUAUAGAAGGCUGCAUUUCAAGGAAAGGAAGAAGAGGUUAUGACCAAUAAAAUGCAAGUAUUCUGGCUUAUACA
This 1121-nucleotide long non-coding RNA is filed under the name Oryctolagus cuniculus (rabbit). Its description in RNAcentral is "lncRNA (ENSOCUG00000033176.1)". Lineage: Eukaryota; Metazoa; Chordata; Mammalia; Lagomorpha; Leporidae. The record is from RNAcentral.